Molecule: ribosomal RNA, 405 nt
Filed under: uncultured bacterium
Lineage: Bacteria
Description: partial 16S ribosomal RNA
Rfam family: Bacterial small subunit ribosomal RNA
Source: RNAcentral
UGGGGAAUAUUGGGCAAUGGAGGCAACUCUGACCCAGCAAUACCGCGUGAGUGAAGAAGGUCUUCGGAUUGUAAAGCUCUGUUGAGGGGGACGAAAACAAUGACGGUACCUCUUAAGAAAGCCACGGCAAACUACGUGCCAGCAGCCGCGGUAAUACGUAGGUGGCAAGCGUUGUCCGGAAUGACUGGGCGUAAAGGGUGCGUAGGCGGCUUGACAAGUUGAAAGUGUAAUCCCGUGGCUCAACUGCGGUGCUACUUUCAAAACUGUCGAGCUUGAGUGUGGGAGAGGUAAGUGGAAUUCCUAGUGUAGCGGUGGAAUGCAUAGAUAUUAGGAGGAACACCAGCGGCGAAGGCGACUUACUGGACCAUAACUGACGCUGAGGCACGAAAGCGUGGGGAGCAAACA